This 332-nucleotide unclassified non-coding RNA is filed under the name soil metagenome. Its description in RNAcentral is "partial contains 5.8S ribosomal RNA, internal transcribed spacer 2, and large subunit ribosomal RNA". The stretch from base 1 to 120 matches the Rfam family "5.8S ribosomal RNA", at positions 35 to 154 of the family's 154-position model. The record is from RNAcentral.
GAUGAAGAACGUAGCGAAAUGCGAUAAGUAAUGUGAAUUGCAGAAUUCAGUGAAUCAUCGAAUCUUUGAACGCACAUUGCGCCCCUCGGUAUUCCGGGGGGCAUGCCUGUUCGAGCGUCAUUACACCACUCAAGCCUCGCUUGGUCUUGGGCGUCCGCGGUCCGCCGCGCGCCCCAACGUCGCCGGCUGAGCCGUCCGUCUCCAAGCGUUGUGGCAAACAUCAUCCGCUUGGGAGCACGGGGGGCCUCGGGCCGUUAAAACACCCCACCACAGGUUGACCUCGGAUCAGGUAGGGAUACCCGCUGAACUUAAGCAUAUCAAUAAGCGGAGGA